RNAcentral lists this transfer RNA (78 nucleotides) under Acidobacteriota bacterium. RNAcentral describes it as "tRNA-Met". It matches the Rfam family "tRNA". Rfam says of the family: Transfer RNA (tRNA) molecules are approximately 80 nucleotides in length. Their secondary structure includes four short double-helical elements and three loops (D, anti-codon, and T loops). Lineage: Bacteria; Pseudomonadati; Acidobacteriota. The record is from RNAcentral. RNAcentral also lists the same sequence under 2 other names.
GGGCCCGUAGCUCAGUUUGGUUAGAGCGCCAGACUCAUAAUCUGGUGGUCGCUGGUUCAAGUCCGGUCGGGCCCACCA